This 413-nucleotide ribosomal RNA is filed under the name Ammonia sp. genotype T6. RNAcentral describes it as "SSU rRNA". It matches the Rfam family "Eukaryotic small subunit ribosomal RNA", at positions 1200 to 1466 of the family's 1831-position model. The record is from RNAcentral. Lineage: Eukaryota; Foraminifera; Rotaliida; Rotaliidae. RNAcentral also lists the same sequence under 1 other name.
UCAACGCGGGAAAUCUUACCGGGUCCGGACACACUGAGGAUUGACAGAUAUAUACCCCGUGAUUUUAUCGCGGGGUUGAAAGAUGCUAGUUCUUUCAUGAUUAUGUGAUAGGUGGUGCAUGGCCGUUCUUAGUUCGUGGAGUGAUCUGUCUGCUUAAUUGCGUAUCAAUAAUAGAGACCUAGUAUACGCGUAGACUCAUGCGGUAGUGACCCCCCUUCACAGGGCGCGUGUCGCACGUAUGUUAUACGCACAGGUCUCCGAUAGCAACGAACGUGACCGUACUCUAUUGUUGCAGCGACAAUACCUUUCAACGGGUAUUACCGCUGCUUAGCAAGAUUCGUCUUGCAUUAAACUAUAGAGACCGCUGUUUCUUCUUUAAACCAGAGGAAGGAUACGGCAAUAACAGGUCUGUG